Molecule: long non-coding RNA, 664 nt
Organism: Lycium barbarum (goji berry)
Lineage: Eukaryota; Viridiplantae; Streptophyta; Magnoliopsida; Solanales; Solanaceae
Exons: 3
Source: RefSeq, a predicted model, not a curated record
CAACUCAAAAAGAAUCGGAUUCUGGAAAGCUUACCUUGUUAAAAGCAUCAAGAAAAGGCAGAAAAAAGAAGUGCGGAUUAUGUGGAAGAUUAGGGAAUAAUAGUAGAAUAUGCCUUAUUCUUAUGGGAAGCAGCCACUCUGAAGUUCAACAACAACAAUUCCAUCAGCGAUUCGAAAGGGAAGGCCCUUCUCCACCUAGUAAUGCAACAGAAGUAACAGAAGUUUCAAGCACCAUUAUUGAGAGUGCAACAUCAAUGUAGUCCAGUUCCUCUUUUGUAACUGAACAAAUUGUCAAUCAACUUAACUAGCCCAGGGUACCUCAACAACAAUUGAAGAGUUCUGCAUUCAUUUUAGAAGAAAUGGGUGAGCAUUCCAGAGAAGAUACAAGGCCACUCUUCCUCGAGAGAAUCGGAAAACAAUACGUACCACAGUCAAGAUUACAAGAAGAUCUUUCUCAAAGUAGCAAGAGAGUUGGAAGUGUCCCACGGGCCAAAAGGAAUAAUUAUCCUUAAAUAAAGUUAAAGACAAAGACAAUCAAUGACAAUACGUACAUGAUUUUAGAUCUAGUUCUUUCCUGAUGACUUUGAAGUUAAUCAUGUUCUAGUGACAUGUAAAUGAUUGUGUUUUCUCUUUUAAAACAAUAUGCAGCUUAAAUAGUUAUCUU